ACACGACUACAUUAGAUACCCGCGUAGUCCCAGCCCUAAACGAUGCGCGUUAGGUGUAUCGGUGACCACGAGUCACCGAGGUGCCGAAGGGAAACCGUGAAACGUGCCGCCUGGGAAGUACGGUCGCAAGGCUGAAACUUAAAGGAAUUGGCGGGGGAGCACCGCAACGGGAGGAGCGUGCGGUUCAAUUGGAUUCAACGCCGGACAACUCACCAGGAGCGACGGUUACAUGAAGGCCAGGCUGAUGACCUUGCCUGAUUUUCCG
Molecule: ribosomal RNA, 265 nt
Filed under: uncultured archaeon
Lineage: Archaea
Description: partial 16S ribosomal RNA
Rfam family: Archaeal small subunit ribosomal RNA
Source: RNAcentral